GCAAUAAUUUUAAGUAACCACCCCACUACAUAUGAAAAUUAAAUGACUGAAACAGGAAAAGCCAAAGAAUAUAACCCCCGUUUUAACAGAAUUGUGAGUUAAUAUGAACACUUAAAAAAGGAACAGAUAACAGCUUGGAUAGCUUUAAAUAACUUUCUGUGAUAACUUCUAAAUCCCCAAGGUUCUGUGUAACUUUGACAAAGACAUGGACCCAGAAUUAAUUGAUCUUAUCUUGGUUUCACUAUGGCACUGGCUGAUGAUGGCAAGGUCUGGAAAUAACACCUGGUGUCUGCAAGGAAGCUAACCCCUAUGUCAACCCUUCUCUCUGGGUUUGCGAGGAAGAGAGACAGUUGCAGCAGGAACAAAUUACUCCACCAAAAGAUAAAUGAAUUCUAAUCAUUAUAUUUGUCUUGGAGAGUCUGGAGACUCAGACAGUACCUCCCAGAGUUCUUUAGGAAAGAUUAUCUGGGCUUUGGGGAAGGAAACUUUGAGCCUGAACUUCAGGUUGAUGAUGUUAGCACACUCACAUCAAAAGGGAGGCUAGGAGGAGAGGCUGCAGAUGUAUAAUAUAGAGAAGGUAGGGAUCUUAGGCUGUCAAAAUAUGGCAAACAUGUGCUCAUUUUGUGUUGCUGAGCAAUCACCGGCGAGGAAUAUGUUUGCUGUGUUACUCUUGGGCUUUGGCAAUCAUGUUCAAAAUUCCUAAUGUGGUAUUAGUAAAGAUAAAGCAGAAAAUUUGACCCUUGGAGGUCCAGAAAGCAUUAAUUGGUAAUGGAAAUACUUCCCUCCAACAUUGUUGGUACCAACAGCAGAAGUUCUGACAGCAAGUCAAAGUACUGAUAGGGAGAGAGAGCAACAAGACUACUGAAUGGAAGUAGCAGCAGCAGCAAUAACAGUGACUGGCGGGGGUGAUCUAAGUAGCAGCCACUGAGAAAGAACACAGGGUCCCCAGGGCUCUCUCAGUGAGAGAGAAAGAAAGGAGAGUGCUAGGAUCUCCAUGAGAAUUCUGGGGAAAGGACCGGAAAAUCAAGGAAAUAACUAUUGCAAUUAUUGUAGAAAUUGUAAGUGUUCCCAAGUGCCCCACAGUCUAGCAAUAUAAGGGUUACCAGGCACACUAGUUUAUAUCCACUGAGACUUCUCAGAAUGUUCUAAAUGAGCUUAUGCCCCUUUCUUCAAAGGUGUUUUUGCCCUCCGGAUGAUGCCUCAGAGGCCCUAUUAAGGUCCCUCAGUCAAGGCUCAUGAUAAUUCUUUUAUACUGCAGUAGCCAAACACCAAGGUUUAAAACACAUGACUCACUUGGCUGAUUUGACACAACGCAGAGAAGACCUAGGUACUUCUGGCAAGAUAUUCCUUCCACUUCUCCAUUUACCUGGCUUCUGAUGUCUUCUGAA
Molecule: long non-coding RNA, 1388 nt
Filed under: Homo sapiens (human)
Lineage: Eukaryota; Metazoa; Chordata; Mammalia; Primates; Hominidae
Description: HSALNT0074899
Source: RNAcentral